Molecule: transfer-messenger RNA, 298 nt
Filed under: candidate division CPR2 bacterium GWD2_39_7
Lineage: Bacteria; candidate division CPR2
Description: partial transfer-messenger RNA
Rfam family: transfer-messenger RNA
About the family: Bacterial tmRNA, also known as 10Sa RNA or SsrA, is named for its dual tRNA and mRNA-like properties. Its role is to liberate the mRNA from a stalled ribosome.
Source: RNAcentral
CAAUAACUGCAAAAUUCGCAGAAAAAGUUAAGACCGCUUUUGCUGGUCUUAGCUUUCAACCAGCUGUAGCCUAAAUCAGGCUACCCGUCUUUAGUAGCCGGCCCGGCGACGGCUAAAGACGAAAUAAUCCGGGAUGCAGGGGCCGUAUGUCUGUGACGGCGCUCAAGACUUAUCAGGCUAGACUGGAAAGAAUUUGUCUAAUUUAUCUUCUAGUUUAAAACUCAAAUUAGACUAAGCUUGCUAAAAGUUUUUAGGUUUUUACUUUUGGACGCGGGUUCGACUCCCGCCAGCUCCACCA